Molecule: ribosomal RNA, 497 nt
Filed under: uncultured bacterium
Lineage: Bacteria
Description: partial 16S ribosomal RNA
Rfam family: Bacterial small subunit ribosomal RNA
Source: RNAcentral
GAUGAACGCUGGCGGCGUGCCUAAUACAUGCAAGUCGAGCGAACGGACGAGAAGCUUGCUUCUCUGAUGUUAGCGGCGGACGGGUGAGUAACACGUGGAUAACCUACCUAUAAGACUGGGAUAACUUCGGGAAACCGUAGCUAAUACCGGAUAAUAUUUUGAACCGCAUGGUUCAAAAGUGAAAGACGGUCUUGCUGUCACUUAUAGAUGGAUCCGCGCUGCAUUAGCUAGUUGGUAAGGUAACGGCUUACCAAGGCAACGAUGCAUAGCCGACCUGGGAGGGUGAUCGGCCACACUGGAACUGAGACACGGUCCAGAAUCCUACGGGAGGCAGCAGUAGAGAAUCUUCCGCAAUGGGCGAAAGCCUGACAGAGCAACGCCGCGUGAGUGAUGAAGGUCUUCAGAUCGUAAAACUCUGUUAUUAGGGAAGAACAUAUGUGUAAGUAACUGUGCACAUCUUGACGGUACCUAAUCAGAAAGCCACGGCUAACUACGUG